UUCCGGUUGAUCCUGCCAGAGGCGACCGCUAUUGGAGUUCGAUUAAGCCAUGCGAGUCGAGAGCUUUAGGAGCUCGGCAUACUGCUCAGUAACACGUGGAUAACCUGCCCUGUGCUCUGGGAUAACCUCGGGAAACUGAGAAUAAUACCGGAUAGUCCACCACGCCUGGAACGGUGGGUGGAUCAAAGGUCACGGCACAGGAUGGGUCUGCGGCGUAUCAGGUUGUAGGGGGUGUAAAGGACCCCCUAGCCAUUGACGCGUACGGGUUGUGGGAGCAAUCGCCCGGAGAUGGAUUCUGAGACACGAAUCCAGACCCUACGGGGUGCAGCAGGCGCGAAAACUUCACACUGCAGGAAACUGUGAUGAGGGAACUCCAAGUGCAUGCACAAUGUGUAUGCUUUUCCUUACUUUUAAUCGGUUUGGGAAUAAGGGCUGGGAAAGACCGGUGCCAGCCGCCGCGGUAAUACCGGCAGCUCAAGUGGUCGUCGCUUUUAUUGGGCCUAAAACGUCCGUAGCCUGUUUGGUAAAUCUGUGGGUAAAUCAACCAGCUUAACUGGUUGAAUUCUGCAGAGACUGCCAGACUAGGGACCGGGAGAGGUGUGGGGUACUCUCGGGGUAGGGGUAAAAUCCUGUCAUCCUGGGAGGACCACCAGUUGCGAAGGCGCCACACUGGAACGGAUCCGACGGUCAGGGACGAAGCCUAGGGGCACGAACCGGAUUAGAUACCCGGGUAGUCCUAGGAGUAAACGCUGUGAACUUGGUGUCG
Molecule: ribosomal RNA, 766 nt
Filed under: uncultured Candidatus Poseidoniales archaeon
Lineage: Archaea; Methanobacteriati; Thermoplasmatota; Candidatus Poseidoniia; Candidatus Poseidoniales
Description: bacterial SSU rRNA
Rfam family: Archaeal small subunit ribosomal RNA
Source: RNAcentral